GUGGGGAAUAUUGGACAAUGGGCGCAAGCCUGAUCCAGCCAUGCCGCGUGAGUGAUGAAGGCCCUAGGGCUGUAAAGCUCUUUCACCGGUGAAGAUAAUGACGGUAACCGGAGAAGAAGCCCCGGCUAACUUCGUGCCAGCAGCCGCGGUAAUACGAAGGGGGCUAGCGUUGUUCGGAAUUACUGGGCGUAAAGCGCACGUAGGCGGACAUUUAAGUCAGGGGUGAAAUCCCGGGGCUCAACCACGGAACUGCCUUUGAUACUGGGUGUCUGGAGUAAGGAAGAGGUAAGUGGAAUUCCGAGUGUAGAGGGGAAAUUCGUAGAUAAUCGGAGAGACAGCAGUGGCGGAGGCGGCUGACUGGUCCAUUACUGACGCUGAGGUGCGAAAGCGUGGGGGGCAGACAGGAUUAGAAGCCCCAGUAGUCC
Molecule: ribosomal RNA, 425 nt
Filed under: uncultured bacterium
Lineage: Bacteria
Description: partial 16S ribosomal RNA
Rfam family: Bacterial small subunit ribosomal RNA
Source: RNAcentral